This 540-nucleotide ribosomal RNA is filed under the name uncultured ciliate. RNAcentral's name for it is "SSU rRNA". It matches the Rfam family "Eukaryotic small subunit ribosomal RNA", at positions 498 to 1049 of the family's 1831-position model. Lineage: Eukaryota; Ciliophora. The record is from RNAcentral.
CGUAUCUAGGAUUGCAAUGAACCGAUUUUUUUUCCCUUGGUGAGGAACAAUUGGAGGGCAAGUCUGGUGCCAGCAGCCGCGGUAAUUCCAGCUCCAAUAGCAUAUAUUAAUGUUGUUGCAGUUAAAAAGCUCGUAGUUGGAUUUCUGCAGGAGUGCCAAUGUCCGACCACGUUCGUGUGCAGCGGCGCCCCUGCAUCCUUCGGUUACCUCCGCUCGGCAUUCACUUGCCGGCGGUUGGCUCCGAAUAUUUACCUUGAGAAAAUUAGAGUGUUUCAGGCAGGCUUGUCCGGAAUACAUUAGCAUGGAAUAAUAGAAUAGGACUACGGUCUCGUUGUUGGUUUGAGGGACUGGAGUAAUGAUUAAUAGGGAUAGUUGGGGGCAUUAGUAUUUAAUUGUCAGAGGUGAAAUUCUCAGAUUAACUAAAGACUAACUUAUGCGAAAGCAUUUGCCAAGGAUGUUUUCAUUAAUCAAGAACGAAAGUUAGGGGAUCAAAGACGAUCAGAUACCGUCCUAGUCUUAACCAUAAACUAUGCCGACUCG